Molecule: ribosomal RNA, 481 nt
Filed under: uncultured bacterium
Lineage: Bacteria
Description: partial 16S ribosomal RNA
Rfam family: Bacterial small subunit ribosomal RNA
Source: RNAcentral
AUUGAACGCUGGCGGCAUGCCUUACACAUGCAAGUCGAACGGUAACAGGUCUUCGGAUGCUGACGAGUGGCGAACGGGUGAGUAAUACAUCGGAACGUGCCCGAUCGUGGGGGAUAACGAGGCGAAAGCUUUGCUAAUACCGCAUACGAUCUACGGAUGAAAGCGGGGGAUCUUCGGACCUCGCGCGGACGGAGCGGCCGAUGGCAGAUUAGGUAGUUGGUGGGAUAAAAGCUUACCAAGCCGACGAUCUGUAGCUGGUCUGAGAGGAUGAUCAGCCACACUGGGACUGAGACACGGCCCAGACUCCUACGGGAGGCAGCAGUGGGGAAUUUUGGACAAUGGGCGAAAGCCUGAUCCAGCCAUGCCGCGUGCAGGAUGAAGGCCUUCGGGUUGUAAACUGCUUUUGUACGGAGCGAAAAGCCUCUUUCUAAUAAAGAGGGGUCAUGACGGUACCGUAAGAAUAAGCACCGGCUAACUACGU